CUCAACCUUAUAUCAGUUUCUUAUACAUAAACUACGAUUGUGACAGGCAAAGGCAAUAAUUUAGGAGGACGAAUGGGAAAUGCCUGGUCUGGGGAAAGCACCAUCCAAGGUGGGGCUUAGUUUGUAACUUCCAUUAUGUGCCGGAAAUCCUGGGAGCCUUCUUCUGGACCGUACCAGCUCUGUUCGACCAUGAGGGACGAUGACAAAUGCAAAACAAAGUGAGCACACAUCAUCAUCUUCACAUAUAGAUGUCAUAUCUGAUCCAUUAGAAGCAUGUCUCUGUGAAUCUCAUCAUAGCACAACUCCCACAUUGCAGUAGACUGGGUAUGGCAAGUAUUGGAAGCUGUAUUGCGGAAAGGUCCCUAGCAGGAUUAUAACUGGAAUUUACUUGUAGUAAAUUGUGGAUCUUUUAAUAUUUUGAUAUUGUUGAGGAUUCACUUGCAAUUGAUCUAUCAAAUAAAUGCUGCCUCUAUUUUUGU
Salvia hispanica is the source of this 479-nucleotide non-coding RNA. The record is from RefSeq and is a predicted model, not a curated record. NCBI's taxonomy places the organism in Eukaryota, Viridiplantae, Streptophyta, Magnoliopsida, Lamiales, Lamiaceae.